AGAGUUUGAUCCUGGCUCAGAGCGAACGCUGGCGGCAGGCCUAACACAUGCAAGUCGAGCGCCCAGCAAUGGGAGCGGCAGACGGGAUAGUAACACGUGGGAACGUACCUUUCAGUUCGGAACAACCAAGGGAAACUUUGGCUAAUACCGAAUACGCCCGUAAGGGGAAAGAUUUAUCGCUGAAAGAUCGGCCCGCGUCUGAUUAGCUAGUUGGUGAGGUAAUGGCUCACCAAGGCGACGAUCAGUAGCUGGUCUGAGAGGAUGAUCGGCAUCACUGGGACUGAGACACGGCCCAGACUCCUACGGGAGGCAGCAGUGGGGAAUAUUGGACAAUGGGCGCAAGCCUGAUCCAGCCAUGCCGCGUGAGUGAUGAAGGCCUUAGGGUUGUAAAGCUCUUUCGUCAGGGAAGAUAAUGACGGUACCUGAAGAAGAAGCCCCGGCUAACUUCGUGCCAGCAGCCGCGGUAAUACGAAGGGGGCUAGCGUUGCUCGGAAUCACUGGGCGUAAAGCGCACGUAGGCGGCUUUCUAAGUCAGGGGUGAAAUCCUGGAGCUCAACUCCAGAACUGCCCUUGAUACUGGAAAGCUUGAGUUCGGGAGAGGUGAGUGGAACUGCGAGUGUAGAGGUGAAAUUCGUAGAUAUUCGCAAGAACACCAGUGGCGAAGGCGGCUCACUGGCCCGAUACUGACGCUGAGGUGCGAAAGCGUGGGGGAGCAAACAGGAUUAGAUACCCUGGUAG
RNAcentral lists this ribosomal RNA (738 nucleotides) under uncultured bacterium. Its description in RNAcentral is "bacterial SSU rRNA". It matches the Rfam family "Bacterial small subunit ribosomal RNA", at positions 8 to 793 of the family's 1533-position model. The record is from RNAcentral.